RNAcentral lists this unclassified non-coding RNA (328 nucleotides) under soil metagenome. Its description in RNAcentral is "partial contains 5.8S ribosomal RNA, internal transcribed spacer 2, and large subunit ribosomal RNA". The stretch from base 1 to 120 matches the Rfam family "5.8S ribosomal RNA", at positions 35 to 154 of the family's 154-position model. The record is from RNAcentral.
GAUGAAGAACGUAGCGAAAUGCGAUACGUAAUGUGAAUUGCAGAAUUCAGUGAAUCAUCGAAUCUUUGAACGCACAUUGCGCCCCUUGGUAUUCCGAGGGGCAUGCCUGUUCGAGCGUCAUUAUAACCCCUCAAGCUCAGCUUGGUGUUGGGGCCUGCCGCACGGGCAGCCCUUAAAAUCAGUGGCGGUGCCAUCUGGCUCUAAGCGUAGUAAUUCUUCUCGCUAUAGAGUCCCGGUGGAUGCUUGCCAUUAACCCCCAAUUUUCUAUGGUUGACCUCGGAUCAGGUAGGGAUACCCGCUGAACUUAAGCAUAUCAAUAAGCGGAGGA